This 443-nucleotide ribosomal RNA is filed under the name uncultured bacterium. RNAcentral describes it as "bacterial SSU rRNA". It matches the Rfam family "Bacterial small subunit ribosomal RNA", at positions 958 to 1397 of the family's 1533-position model. The record is from RNAcentral.
AACGCGAAGAACCUUACCAGGGCUUGACAUGUUAGGAACCCCGCCGAAAAGUGGGGGUGCCCUUCGGGGAGCCUAAACACAGGUGGUGCAUGGUUGUCGUCAGCUCGUGUCGUGAGAUGUUGGGUUAAGUCCCGCAACGAGCGCAACCCCUAUUGUAUGUUGCCAGCAGGUCAAGCUGGGCACUCAUGCGAGACUGCCGGUGACAAACCGGAGGAAGGUGGGGAUGACGUCAAAUCAUCAUGCCCCUUAUGUCCUGGGCGACACACGUGCUACAAUGGCCGUCACAAAAGCGAACCGAGCCCGCGAGGGGGAGGAAACCGCAAAAAGGCGGUCGUAGUUCAGAUUGCAGGCUGAAACUCGCCUGCAUGAAGCCGGAGUUGCUAGUAAUCGCGGAUCAGAACGCCGCGGUGAAUACGUUCCCGGGCCUUGUACACACCGCGAGC